CGCCAGACCAGAUCUCCAGAGAUGGAGGUGGUCGGCCUCAGGGCCCAGCCAUGAGAAGGUGUAUGAGGAGGCAUCGCAUCAGGCGCCCACCCUGUGCUUGCAGGGCCUGACCAUGAGCGCCGCCUUCAGUUUUACACCUUAGGCACCCCACUUGGCUCCCCUUCGUCCCAGCCCUGCCAGACCCACCCUUGACUCUGUGUUUCCUUUCUGGAAACUCGAGAGGCCAUUUCUACUUAAAGAGUCCUCACCUGGCCUACCAGCGACCAGAUCUGCCCAAGUGCAGAAGAAACACUUGGUUAUCUCCUCUUUCAUCGUCCCCGCUCGAGCAUAAAACAACAGAAAGUUUCCUAUCGGAACAGCAUGCUUGUGCCAAAAACAAAUUAGAAACAACAACAACUUCUCAAAAUUUUGAGCAAAAUGAUGGUGACCGUGUUCUGGAAAUGGAGCAAAGUUUCCUAGUGCCUGUGACCAAACACCUUGUGUGUGCUCCCCAGGAGAGAAAACCGCUAGCAGCCUCAGGUAUUGUUGGGGGUGGGGAGGAUGGGGGUUCUGUGGGGACAGGAACUUCUUCCUCUGUAUUGGGGGUGGACACACACACGGAAACUUAGAGCGGUGUACUACCUCCAGGCCAACCAGGCAAGUCCCUGUUUUAUAACUAAGGUCUAGGUGAGGUGGCCUGCCCGGGGUCCCAUGGCCUGUUAGGGGUAGAGAUUUCUAGUCACUUGACUUCCAGCCUGCUUCUUUUCCAUGGAUCACACACACACUACUGUUACAAGACACAGGUAGGACAAAGGGCAUGAACAUGCAUGGCAAAAUGAACAUGCACGGCAAAUGGGAACAUGUCAUAUAUACAAUGGAAGGGAAGACAAAUGACAUGAAGUAAAUAUAGACAUGAAAUCAUAGGGAAGAAUUGGAGAUCACGAUUUCUGAUGACCACCAGCUAUUCCCACUUCCUCUUUGCUUCUCCCUCCCACCUUGUUUGAAGACAGGUGAGGAGUUGUUCCUCCUCAGACCCAGGAAUCAUUUCCCAGUGGAAUGACACGGUGAAGUGGAUCGCCAUUUUUAAACCUUCAAUAAUAAAGAUCUUGUG
This 1090-nucleotide long non-coding RNA is filed under the name Homo sapiens (human). RNAcentral describes it as "non-protein coding lnc-ATF3-1:3". The record is from RNAcentral. Lineage: Eukaryota; Metazoa; Chordata; Mammalia; Primates; Hominidae.